UGGAGAGCGGGCAGAUGCACCUGGGGCUGCGGGGGGAUCUUUUCGGGCGGCCGGACCCCUACCGGGCCGUCUCCAGCCCCCGCACGGACCCGUACGCCAGCGCCCAGUUCCACAACUAUGCCCCCAUGAACGUGAAUAUGGGCAUGAACGUGGCGGCCCAUCACCACCACGGCCCGGGGGCUUUCUUCCGCUACAUGCGCCAGCCCAUCAAGCAAGAGCUGUCCUGCAAGUGGGUCGAGGAGACCCAGCUGAGCCGGCCCAAAAAGAGCUGCGACCGGACUUUCAGCACCAUGCACGAACUGGUCACCCAUGUGACGAUGGAGCAUGUCGGGGGCCCGGAGCAGAACAACCACAUCUGCUACUGGGAGGAGUGUCCGAGGGAAGGCAAGUCUUUCAAGGCGAAAUACAAACUGGUGAACCACAUUCGCGUUCACACGGGAGAAAAACCCUUCCCGUGCCCGUUCCCAGGCUGUGGGAAAAUCUUUGCCCGGUCCGAGAAUCUGAAGAUCCACAAAAGGACGCAUACAGGUGAGAAACCUUUUAAGUGUGAAUUCGAAGGCUGUGAUAGACGCUUUGCGAACAGUAGUGACAGAAAGAAGCACAUGCAUGUACACACUUCAGACAAGCCUUAUAUCUGUAAAGUGUGUGACAAGUCUUACACCCAUCCCAGCUCUCUUAGGAAACACAUGAAGGUUCAUGAAUCGCAAGGGUCAGAUUCCUCCCCCGCUGCCAGUUCAGGCUAUGAAUCGUCCACUCCACCCGCUCUGAGUUCUACAAACAGUAAAGACUCUACCAAAACCCCUCCGUCAACAAUUCAAAGUAACACCAGCCACAACCCCGGACUGCCACCCAAUUUUAACGAAUGGUACGUCUAAGGACAAACCAGCCAACCUAACUAUAGACUGGACCAAAUGAAUUCCAAGGAAAACUGAAAACCAAUCACACGGAAAUGGAGUUUUCACGCAAACAAGCGUAUAGGGCUACAUCUAGUUAAUUGCAAUUAUCCAGGAAAGGGUUUUAAUUUUUUUUGCAAGAAGCAGACGCUGGACUUUUCUCAGGAUUGGAUUUUUUUUUUUUUUUGGCGUUCGCAGUAAUUUCUUUGAUUUUUUUUCUCUUCCCUCUGCCAGUUACCGCCCCUUUCCUCCCUUCCUUCAUUUGAAUACUUUUUAAUUUUUAUUAUUGUCAUUUUUUGGCUUUUUCUUCCUUCGGUGGGAUGCUGACAUGAGGAUGAAAAUUCUCCUUCGCCUUAGUGGUGAUUGUUUAAACUCACAUUCUUAAACCGUGCCAAAGUCCUGUUAUGUCUUGAACUUCACUUUCUCUUUCACUCUCUCUCUCUCCUUUCUCAAAGCAUUAUACUUGUGAAUGUAUUCUCGUCUGAUGGGUUCGUCCAGUAUUUUUCCAAGAUGAGGCUGUGGUGUUAUUCUACCCGGAUUGUGACCGUUUAGUAAAACAGUUGCCUUUUUGUAAUAACUUUUUUUUGUAAAUACAUAUCCAUGAUGCCAUAUUUAUCGUUUGUAAUUUAAUGAUUGAUACGAAGUGCCGGGAACUGAACAAUAUUUAUGGGGGAAAAGUGUUUUCUAACAAAAAAGCAACAAAAUCAAACAAAAAACCCAACUCUGUACAGUUUUUGGUUAUAACUGCUUUAGCAUUAAAAAUUUAUUGUUUUUGAAAGAACACCAUGGAAUAGUUUUUGAACCACUCUUGUAUUUCCUUAUUGCUCAUCCAGCACUGGCAAAGUAGCCACAUAUCAAGGUGUCUGUAUCUCCUUCCCAGUCUUUAUAGGAUUUGCUUCCCUGAUGCAGUCUGGGAAUAUACAGUGUUUCUUUCAACAGGGAAAUGAGAGUCGUCUUGCUGUUUCCCUUGUCUCCGCCCUCACAUCCCAGUGGUUUGUUUUCUCCUCGAGCUUCAUAUGUUUGUUAUUGCACUCUCUGCAAGCAAUCCAAUAUUACUGAUCUGUCCUGUGAGGGACCAUGACAUAUCUCUUUCUUGCACUUCAAAGAACAUUUAGGCGUUCCCUGUGUUGCAUAGUAAACAGCAGAAGGUAAAUCUAAUGUGUGAGUUUUAUUCUUGUGUGUGGCUCCUUUUUACACUUUUCUGAAAGGCUUGCAUGUGUCUCCAUAGAUGGAUAGAUAUGCCCAGCCAUCUAGCUCUGUAUACGUGCAUUUAAGAGGUUUAGGAUGAAUCUGAAACAGCUGGGUAGUGAGUAAAAGAAUCUAGUUCCAUGUGUUUACUUCAGAUUAAUGUAAGUGCUUCUUAAAAGAAUUAGUUUAUCCCGGUUAUAGGGGGGGGAGGGGCAAAAGGUGGAUUUGUUUGGUUGUAUAUAAUCCACCACACAGCUAUAAAAAUUAUUCUAUAUAGCCAAUCACAAGACAACUUCAAAAGUUUAAGAAACAAUAUAGAAAUUAAUUGACAAAUAUAUUUUCAAAGCUAAUGAGUUGUACACAGAUGCUGAUAUAAUUUUAAUUAAUAUCAGUAACAUAUGCAAUUAUUUGUUUUAAAAUAAAAUUCUAACCUGAUGCUUACUAUAUCUUUGGUGAAAGGGAACAUCAAAACUGAGCAUAUAUACACACAGUUCUAGAAAACCAACCAUCUAUUGGUUGGCAAUUAAUAAUAUUUUAAAAAAUUAAAUUAUGUUGAUCAGUUUCUGCUUUAUACAUGGGAUUUAGGAUGGUAUGGUUUUGUAUUAUAUUUUUGCUUUAGGUUAAUAAUGAAGGCACAGUGUGAACAGUGACUAUUUAAGAAAUGAACAGGAAGUAAAAGCCAAGAAAUGGGGAGAAGACUGAGGAAUUUCAGAGAAAUGUUAGCUUGAUAAAUUACUAUUGGAAAAAACAAUAAAGCAAACAAACCAAAAACUACCUCCCUCAACACUUCCCCCUCCAAAAUAUUUUAAGAUUUUUCAUCUGUAUCAUAUAUUAUCUCAGUUAACCUAAGCUAUUAAUGGAUCCACCUUUUGGUUUUCUUUCUCCUGAUUUUUGUAAACUUUAAAAUUCUCAUGUCUAAUAUUUAUUUUGCAUUUAGAUCUUUGUCUAACUUUGUCAGUUAAAACAGCCUCAUUCAUUUUUAAUAAUAAUAAACAAAAUAUGCCAUCUUCCCAGAAGUGUUAUUUGGAGAUUAAAAAUAGAUUGUAUUUCUCUCCCUAAAUAUAUUAUUUAAAAUUGACUAAUUGUAAUAUCUUACCUACUGAAUUUAACAGUGUAUGGUGACUAUUAACUAGCAUCAUUUCUAUGUACAUACAUAUGAUAGAAUGCAGCAUUUGAAGGUGUAUACAGUUCAGCUAAAGUAAUGUAUUCUGUAAACUGUUAGCUGUUAGAAUUUUCCCUGGCUUUAAGGAUGUGGGUAAUUUAGGACCUUUGCGGGAGGGAAGGAAACCCAGACAGUCCCAUCUUGAACUUGACACUCAUUGGAACGGCUGAACUGAGAAUACUGUUUGUUUACUUCCUGCUUUAAAAUGUCUUUUAUUUUAUGCAGUUUUGAUCAAACCGACAAAUCGUUUAAAAAACAGGAAAAGUUUUUCAGAAAUAAAGCCGGAACUCCAGUAGAUUGAUUACAAUGUUUGACAGGACUGCAAUUCCAAAAUGAGGGUUAAAUUGCCAUUCUAUUCUCUUGUCCUAAUUUUCCCCUUUGAAAUACAUUUUUUAAAUGAUUAUUUCGAUUUCUUUUAUGCAGCCAAAUAUUUCUUCUGCUAUACACAGGCAACGGAUUUGAAAUCCCAUUCCAUUAAAGUUGUCAACUUUAUACAGAGGCAAGUAGUGCUGUGAGACACUGCAAAAUACAGAAAAAAGCACAAGAAGGGCAGAGGCUCCUGGCUUGAACCUGCAGUAACUCCAGAGAUACAAAAUGGCCGUGAUGCAGCCAUUUUGGAUACUUAACACGUAACCUCAAUGGGCUUUAUACCAGACCUCAACUCCAUUUGAUUCCUGGAACAACCUGCUUCCAGCUUGUUUCCUUUUCUGUUGUACAGGCUGAAGCUGGUCUGUCAGAAGCAGAAAGGAGAACUAGUCCUGUAUUGUUCAGCGUACCGUGAGAAAUAAACGUUGUUCCACUGAAUAGCCUACAUGUUGGGGGCCUUACCUUGCCAAGCAUUCUCAAUUCCUGUUCAUUUCAAAGGGAGUGGAAAGAGCACAUGGAAUUACAGAAUGUUAAAACUGGAAGGGACCUUGAGAGAUCAUCAAGUCCAAUCCCCUGCCCUCACGGCAGGACCAAGCACCAUCUAGAUCAUCCUUGAUGGAUGUCUGUCCAACCUGCUCUUAAAUAACUCAUCAUGUUGCAGGGUCAGCAGUGGAUAUGCUGCACUGUGUCUCCUAGUCCAGGACAUGGCUCUUGCUGAUGGUAUUAUGCCUAUCAAUGUAAACUUUGAAUAGAGAUUGGGAAGGGCUCACUCAUGACCAUAAGUAAUUUUCCACAUUAGGUAUUCUUACCUUCUUAUCUACAUCCAUCCUGAUUGAAUUGGCUCUGAUGUAACACUCCCAUUUCUGUACCCCUGCUAUAUGUUUGUUUCUUUCCCUUAAUGCAUCUGAUGAAGUGAAUUGCAACCCACGAAAGCUUAUGCAAUAAUAAAAUUGCUAAUCUUUAAGGUGCCACCGGACUCCUUGUUGUUUUUAAUGUAAAUUCUCAAUACAGGGGUUCACAACCUUCCAGCCCUCAUAAUUUGCCUCAUUAGCACUGGUCCUACA
Molecule: non-coding RNA, 4673 nt
Organism: Pelodiscus sinensis (Chinese soft-shelled turtle)
Lineage: Eukaryota; Metazoa; Chordata; Testudines; Trionychidae
Source: RefSeq, a predicted model, not a curated record